CACGCCGUAAACGAUGUCGACUAGCCGUUGGGAUCCUUGAGAUCUUAGUGGCGCAGCUAACGCAUUAAGUCGACCGCCUGGGGAGUACGGCCGCAAGGUUAAAACUCAAAUGAAUUGACGGGGGCCCGCACAAGCGGUGGAGCAUGUGGUUUAAUUCGAAGCAACGCGAAGAACCUUACCAGGCCUUGACAUGCUGAGAACCUGCCAGAGAUGGCGGGGUGCCUUCGGGAACUCAGACACAGGUGC
RNAcentral lists this ribosomal RNA (246 nucleotides) under uncultured Pseudomonadaceae bacterium. RNAcentral's name for it is "partial 16S ribosomal RNA". It matches the Rfam family "Bacterial small subunit ribosomal RNA", at positions 796 to 1041 of the family's 1533-position model. Lineage: Bacteria; Pseudomonadati; Pseudomonadota; Gammaproteobacteria; Pseudomonadales; Pseudomonadaceae. The record is from RNAcentral.